GGAGUUAGCCGGUGCUUCUUCUGUGAGUGAUGUCCUUCCUGCCGGCUAUUAACCCGCAGGCCUUCUUCCUCACUGAAAGUGCUUUACAACCCGAAGGCCUUCUUCACACACGCGGCAUGGCUGGAUCAGGGUUGCCCCCAUUGUCCAAUAUUCCCCACUGCUGCCUCCCGUAGGAGUCUGGGCCGUGUCUCAGUCCCAGUGUGGCUGAUCAUCCUCUCAGACCAGCUACGGAUCGUCGCCUUGGUGAGCCGUUACCUCACCAACCAGCUAAUCCGACAUAGGCUCAUCCGAUAGCGCGAGGCCCGAAGGUCCCCCGCUUUCCCCCGUAGGGCCGUAUGCGGUAUUAGCCUGGGUUUCCCCAGGUUAUCCCCCACUACCCGGGCAGAUUCCUAUGCAUUACUCACCCGUCCGCCGCUCGCCACCAGGGAGCAAGCUCCCCGUGCUGCCGCUCGACUUGCAUGUGUUAGGCCUGCCGCCAGCGUUCAAUCUGAGCCAUGAUCAAACUCUGA
This 509-nucleotide ribosomal RNA is filed under the name uncultured bacterium. RNAcentral describes it as "partial 16S ribosomal RNA". The record is from RNAcentral.